RNAcentral lists this long non-coding RNA (8090 nucleotides) under Capsicum annuum. Its description in RNAcentral is "long non-coding RNA (CANN_LNC020990)". Lineage: Eukaryota; Viridiplantae; Streptophyta; Magnoliopsida; Solanales; Solanaceae. The record is from RNAcentral.
UUCGUGAAAACUCCAAAAAAAAGAUAUCAAAAGGACAUAUAGAAAAAAGGUGCAAAACAAAUAUAUUAUCCCCAUUGUGUCUUCGUUUGGUUAAUAUCACGAACAGAGCUGCCUUACACAUUGAUUCCGCUGAUGAAGGUUGUCUAUUAGUUUAUCUAAAGUGAUCUUUGUGCAACUAAUGUUGAAAUGUUUUUUCUAAUUUCUUGUUUUAAAGGCAUGUACUAGUAUAAAGUAGAAAAGUCAAAAGUUAAAUGACCAUCUAUAAAAUAGACCGGAAGACAGAGAAUAAAGGAAGAUAAUUAAAGAGAAGCAAAAAUGGCAACCUAAAUUAACUGUUCUUUACCGAUUUUUGAUUAACUAUUCGUUAAUUGACAGGUCAUGCUGGGCGUCGACCGUUUGGAUAUGAUUAAGGGAAUUCCCCAAAAAAUAUUGGCAUUUGAGAAGUUCCUUGAAGAGAAUCCAGACUGGCAUGGCAAGGUAGUUUUGCUACAAAUUGCAGUACCAACCAGGACAGAUGUCCCCGAGUGUAUGUUCCUUGUCAUCAUACUUAUCUAUGUUGUUUAAUUAGAGCACAAAUUUAUGUCUACUAUUGAAUCAUGUAGCAAAUAUCACUAACCAUGAAAGGAACAUAUGGAUUUUAGAGAGCAAUUUGAGUUGUUGGUUUAAGUUACUGACUUUAGUGACUUGAAAAUUUUGUGAAGGAAAAUUCUGCUAGUUGUCAUGAAUUUCUGGAAAGAGAAAGAAAGGAAAACUGUUGAUGUCUUUGGAUUGUGAUAUAUGUGCCCAUAUUCCUGAGAUUGAGACCAAUUUAAUGCAUUCGAACUUUACCAACUGCAACGAAAGUCCUUAAAAACUUCUAAAUGCAGAAGCUCCUCUUUAGAAUCCAGAUGGUCCUGUUAGAAGCAUUGUAUCUUUCUAAUCUUUGCUAAAACUGUGCCUCCUUAAUCUCUCUCUUAUCUUCUCCAUCCUCCCAUUUCUCCUUGAUCCAGAUUGCAACCCUCUUCCGCUUAACAUCUCUUAGCUCACACAGUUUCUGUUUUCGUCUCAAGUGAAGAGAUCUUCUGAUCUGACAUCUUUUGUCUAAAGGAAAAAGAUACUGGUUAUAGUAAAUUAACCUAGUUUAACAGUGAUGAAGUACAGAAGCUGAUGUUUUAUGCCUGUGAGAAAUCCUUUGGAUAUUCGUAUACUCACAUGAUAGAUUUGAGUUGACUGAAUGAAGGAGAAGAGCUUUUUUUAGAGGAGUAAUGUUAAUGGCAAGAUAGAACAUGAGUUUUGAAUCUUGGGGGUAAAUCAAGCAUAGUACUUAAGAGUAGGAUAGGGGUUAACCUAUUAUUUCCUGAGGUUUACAAGUUGGAAAAUAGUGAACUUCUACAACAACAAACAACUAAACCUCAGUCACAAACAGUUGGGAUCCUCUAUAGGAAUCCUUAGUGACCACGUUAGUCCAUUUAAACUCAUCUCAUGCUGAGUAUGUCCUAACGAUGUCUGUAUUGUGAGGAUUCAUCAUGAAACUGGAUUGUUUUAUGCUGGCUCCUCUUUUUAUCUGGGAUUAGGACCGGCAACGUGAGUAAGCUCACAUAGACGGAGUUAAAUAGUGAAUUUCUGAAGUUCUUUUCUUUUAAAAAAAUUCUAAGUAGCAAAACUAACAUCUCUAAAACACAAUUGUUAAUAAUUUUUCAAGAUCUUUCUUGUAGUGAAUCAUUUAUUGUUAAUGAAAGUUUCUAAAGUUAUUAUGUUCAAAAGUAUUGUCAAAUUAGCAUUGAAAAAGAUUAUUCCGAACUUCUAAUAUUUAAAUUUAACAUUGUAAAACUAAACAUAAAACCAGUGUGUGCUAUCAAGAGAUAUUAUUGCCCUUGAAGCCUUGUAAUUGGUUAAAUAUAUUGGCAUCUAUCAUGGGAUUAAUCUCUCUGAUUGUUAGUGGUUUCCUCUCUUAACCUGUUGGCAGAUCAAAAGCUUACGUGCCAAGUACAUGAAAUUGUGGGGCGCAUCAAUGGAAGAUUUGGAACUCUAACAGCUGUCCCAAUCCAUCAUUUGGUCUGUCUCUUGUUACUUAAUAAUAUGAAUAUAGUUGUUGAUAUUAAUGGAUGUGUAUAGUUAUAAAUAUUUUCUUCAUGCUAGACAUAAGUUGGUGCAGCCUGUUUUAGUUUGUUAUUUUCAUGUGAUUCUUGGGAAUAUACUGGGUAUGUUGUUGUUGUUUUUGUAUCUUCAUAUGAUUCUUCUGCAUUUUGAGAAUUGCUCUUUUUCAUAAAUUUAAAUUUUUGGGCAUGUAAUUUCUGGAAGUUACAGUUUCUCAAAAUGUUUAAUGGGUCUAAUUUAGUUCAUUCUAUGUCAAGUAAAUCAUAGUUACUUGAGUGUUAAAGUAGCUUGACAGGUUAUUAGUUAUUCCUGUUGUUUAUCGUUUAUCUUUACAAGUUCCCGUUUUAACACUAAAUCAUAAUGAUCAAAUGAUAAAGGCUCAAAGGAAAAAAAAAGAGAUUAAAAAAUCUUAUAAUAAAGUCUUCGGAGAAACCAUUUUGAAUCCUCUGAUGCAAUGCUGACAUUAAUACCUAUCUCUUUCAAGGAGUAUUGUAAAGUCAGAAGAAUUUUAUCAGGCGAAGUAUUCAACAUUUGGCACUUUCCAGCAAAUCUCAAAAAUUUUUCAAUGUAAUCCUGAAACAAUACGAUUGAGAAACUAAUCACUUGCCAAAUGUCGAGUAUUUACUUAAUAAAGGUAAAGUGGGAGAUUGGUUUCCUUUGAAGAAAAUCUCUUUUCCUUCAUCCCUUGCCACUUCCUCUCAGCACCAGGUUACUUACUGGACCGCCAUACCCCUAAUUCAGUGAUUGUCCCUUCAUUCCUUUUCGUCAAUCCAGCCCACCUACCCCUUUCCUUUACCCAUGCUCAAAUAAGGUAAUUAUUUCCUCUUCCCCUUCGGGAUUCACAUACCUCAAUUUAAUUUUGUGCCAAAACUUGCAUUUUUUACCUUAAAUAGUCGGAAGUUAGGGAUCAAAUCAUAAAAAAGACAAGAACAAGGUGUGAAGUGCAAACGUGCGCACUAGGAGCAAAUUAAACUCAACAUCUAGUGACCAUCAUUUUUACUGUACUCUUAUUUUCCAUAGUCUCUAAUUCACAUUUUCAACUUAUUUUCUUUAUUUCGGCCAAUAAAUUCUGCUCCAUAACCUUACGAUUUCGGAACUUAUAAGAAUUUUCGAGAUAUUAUUGGCAUCAAUACUCACCUAGUUAGCAUAAAUAUUUACGAUGGUCCAGGGUAAAUGUACAUUUGUGAAGUACCCAAAGAUGCUAAUGAAGUGGGUGAAAACCAUGGGAGACCAAACAAAAGACUCUAGAUGAUUUCUUCGCAUCUAUUUAAGCCUCGGUACGUAGAGUUAACUGGUGCUUGUGCUAGUGGAAGUAGCUGAUAGCCAGUGGUAUGGUUGAGGUGUGCACAAACUGGCAUUGAUACCACUAUUAUGAUAAAUGUCGAGUUGUACAUGAGAGAUGAGACUUUUGAAUAUUAAGGCGGAAAACACCAUGACAAUUUUACUUCUAUGGAAACUAUAAUAAUUGAAAUAUAAAAGACAUAAUGAAGAUCUUUGUCGCUUAUAACUCAUAACCCACAUAAUUAAAAAGAAAUGAGCUAGUGGAAAUAUUGCUGGUUAGUGUAAUGAUAUGGCGUCUGGGUCUAAUUUAACCCCAAAAGCUAGUUUAUGAUGAGAGGAUUGUCCAAGUUUAUGUAAGCAGAGCCCAAAUAGGGAUGAUCUAGCUUUGAUACCAUGUAAGGAUAGGUCAUCUGGGCACAACUCAACCCCAAAAUCUGGCUCAUGAUGGGAGGAUUGCAUAAGUCUAUAUAAGUAGACCACUGGUCUAUUUCCAACCAAUGUAGGACUCUAAUAAUUAGAAAGUCCCUACUCCCUACCAAAGGUAAGUACUCUUUCAUGCUUCAUGAAAUCAGAGGUCUCAGGUCGAGCAAUGAGAGUGGAGUGCUUUACUUAACACUAGCCCGCCCUCGGGUACGUAAACCAGAUUAGUCGGAUCACAAAAAGGAUACCUGAAAAAGCAAAAAAAAAAAAAAAAGUUCUUGCAAUCAUUACCUUAACAUAGAAACUCAAUUGUACUUUGAGCAUGAGGACCGAUGGACAUGCACUAGGAAAAUUUGGAAAUUUAUUAUACUAAAGAUGAAAUAUAGCGGCAGAUGCAAAAAAGAGAUGCAAGUGGAUACUGUUUAACUCUAGAGAAGUCAUUCAAGUAAUUUAGGAUAAAACUUGUAUAAAGCAAUUUUUAGGGAAGUGUGAUGCAGAAAAAAGUGACAAGGUUCCACAUUACGCAUUAAGCGAAACAUGAAGGGAUGCGAGCACAUCAUUGAAGAAAAACGCAGUUUAAAAGGAAAAAGACUAAGUAGAGCAUCUAAGCAAUAAGACAAAACUGAAAAGACCACAACAACUAUGAGCAACAAUAUAAACAAUAUAUAUAAGUAGAAGUUUAAAUUAAACACUAAAAUCACAUGUUUGAUCACCAAAACACCUGUUGCGGAACAAACCAGUAAAACAGCACACGCCACAAUAGCAAAACAGUUCAACAAAAUAGCAAAACAAACAAGAAAAAAGGGGAAAAACCAAGUCUAAACUGAUAAUGUUUCAACAUCUAAUUCUUGUUCUUCUAAAGCUCAUCUACUUGAUCAAGAUUGUCCAAAUCUUUGUAUUCCUUCAUUAUCAUCGUAUUGCUCAUCAUAUUCAACUCCUCAUCUUCCGCAACUCGGCUUGAAGUAGCAACUUCUUUUCCCUUGUCAUGUAAGCUUGAAUUAUUCCUCCUCAAACCAUAAAAUCAGCAUUAAGCGACUCUUUCUUUUUAAUUAAAAAUUGACUCUAAAAAUUAAAUCAACAUGAAGCGCUCGCAUCGGUUCGCUUUUCACAUCGACUCGCCUUCCGCAUCGGCUGACAUCUCGCAUAACCCUGUGAUGCACCUGCUUAUGUAAGGUUGGCUCGCAUCAACCACACACAACAAGAGGGGCUCGCAUCGCUUUGCAUUAUGUGACGAUGCAAGCAAAUUCACUGGUAUAAAGAUUUAUUGACAUGUAGGAGUAGCUACGGGUACACCCUUUUGUCUUCUUCUGAAUUGUAGUUAAUGUGCCUAUUUAAAGGACGAAACAAAGAAUUUUCUUACCUUUAACACUGAGCUCUUAGUGAACUCUUUUGUGUGCAAUCAAAUUUUUGCUAGAUAUAUACACUCGCAAACUCUAUCAGGUAAUGCUACAUAUUCAAAUUCUCAAAGUAUAGUUUCCGUGCUUCAAAAGCUAUAUUGAGGCAGUGGCGGAGACAAGACUUUUAUCAAGGGGUUCAAAAUAUAAAAUAAGUACGAAAAUAUUGCAUGAUGAUAAACGGGGCGGGGCAGCGAAAGGAAAAACUAAUCUCAACUCGCCAAAUGUUAGCUCGCCUUGUCAUGUCCCCUUAACAUUUCUUCCUAUUUUUCCCUGCUCCAUAGACCUCAUUUAAAAACAUUUUUUUUGUGUUUUUAAACAAGGUAAUUUUGGAAAAAAUUAAUAUCUUGAUUCCAUCAACAUUACUUAUUUUGAAACACAUUCGGAAGGCUAGAAGGGAUUAUAAGAUUGCAUCUUCAGAAAAUGAAAUUUUCAUAUCAUAGGCAGCAUUAAAGCACAAAAAUGUUCAAUAGAAAUCUUAAAUCUUUCCGUAAAUAUCUAUAGCAUUAUCUAUAGCCUUCACAUGAAGUUCGUUAAACUUGUGGAAGCACCCAAAAAGAAAUAAAUUCGUUAAAUUUGUGGGAAACACCCAAAAAGAAAAAGGAAGAAAAAGUUCACAACUUUGUCCUGUCUUUCGAAACCGAGUCUAGAGCUAACUAUAGGAUACAGAGUGAGAUAAAUGGAAUUCAUAUCUACGUUUGGGUUGUCCAAAAUAUUUGUUGAAUCGAAAGGUGUGUGUCUAUUUAAAGUUAAGUACGUGAGAGGCUAAUGAAAAGACACAUUACGAUUUUAGGAUAAUAUUAGUAGGCUAUACAAUAACAACAAAUAUGAAUUGAUAGAUAAUUUUUUUUGGAUUACAUGUUCCUUGUCAAAAGUGAAAUGUGAAAGAGAGAUUCAAAUAUAAAACAAUUUCCCUUUCGUGAUGAGGAGGUGCACAGAUGCCCCAGUUUGGAGGUUUGAGAGGUUGACUAUGGAUGAGUUCAGGCAAGGUAGAGGUAGACUGAAGAAAUAUUGGAGGGAGGUGAUUAAACAUGACUUGGAGAAACUAGAGCUUACCGAGGACAUAACCCUAGAUAGGAAGGUAUGGAGGAUGCAAAUUAGGGUAGAAGGUUGGUAGAAAGGAGUGCGUCCUUGCUCUAGUAGGUAGGAGUGCGUUGUUUUGGUAUCUGUGCAAGUUGUCAUAGUGCUAUGUUGGUAUCUUGUUUGUGGAGUUUUAGUAUUAUUUGUUGUUUUGGAUAGAUCGACUUUGUGGUAGUCUUUUUCUGUUAUUAUUUGUUGUGCUAAUACCUUUGUUUCUAUACUGUCUUUUUCUAGACUGUUUUUUGUCUUGAGUCAGAGGUCUAUUGGAAACAACCUCUGCACCUCACCUCUGAGGUAGUUGUACGGACUGCGUACACUUACCCUCCCCAAACCCCACUUUGUGGGAAUAUAUUGGGUAUGUUGUUGAUGCUGUUCCCUUUUGUAACAAAUGUCAUCUAACUUGUGUAACAUAUUGACAUUGUUAGGACACCUGAUUGGUAAAGGAAUUUAGGUCAAGAUAGGUAGGAAAAUUUAAAACUUUGAUUCUGAUUUGAAUUAUAAUUUAUAGAGUAGAUAAAAAGAAAAAGUAAAAAUUAUAAUUUAUAGAGUAAAUAAAAAGAAAAAGUAAAUAAUUGGCGAGCAAUCAAUUUAUACUACAGUGACCGAGAAAAUCGGAAAUAUCGGAAAUAUAGUGCAGCGACGGAGAAUUGAUCCUGCGGCCUUGGGAGAAUUUUGAACUCCUUGAUCACUGAGCCAAGCUUUUGAGUUGUGUCAAGGGGGUUCAUUUUGGAUAUAUACUCAAAAAAAGAAAAUAAUCAAACUUGACUUUAUAUCAGUUAAUAUGUCAGGUUGAUUACUGCCUACUUGGUUUCUGAAAUGGAUGCCAAAAACAAGAAAUUAUUAUUCCUAAUUUAACUACUUCAUGGCAAAGAAAAGCCCCAUAGUUUGACAUCAUUUUACUAAUCAAAAAGAUUUAAAAAGCCCAAUACUUUGACAAAGUCUACAACACUAAUCAGUAACAUAAAGUAGGGUGAAUUAUUUUGUUGAUGCAGCAUUUUUGCGUGAAGGGUUCCAUCACUCGUAUCUUCUCUGGAUGACAUUCUCGUUUGGUUGCUUUCUGUACUUACUUACAUCUUAAUAAAUGGUUGCAUCAUUCUGAAGGUUUGGUUCUUCUGUGUUUUCUUUGGUUUCAAUAGUACAAUAAUUAGAAAAUAUAUUUCUCUUGAACUGUGAAAAUAUUUGUCUUCCUUCAUCUAUUCUGCUAAUAUUGCAAAUCUUCUGAAUAGAUUUCCUAUGUGUCAUUUUCCUAAGAAAGCUUUUUUGUGUUGAUGGUAUCUGUCAAUUACUUUUUCGCCAAGAGUAUAAAACUUUAAUUAAUAGGCCUAAUGCCUGAGACUGGUGGUCAGGGAGUUGAGCCAAUUGACAAUAUCAACAUUAAGUUUUCAAUUUCACUGUUGUUGCUUGAAUACUUUGAGAGAUGGAUCUUGGGCCUAACUCUACUCCAAAAGCUUGCUUGUGAGGUGUUUAGACAAAGUGGUGGAUAACAAGAGAAGCGAUUUUGAAACUGAAAGGGUGAUUUUAUUUAUUUUAAAAAUAUUUUUUGGGGUUAGGUUAACUGAAGUUUAUUGAUAUAAGACCAAGAUGGUGUUAGGUUAUAGAAGCAUUGACUACAUGUGAUGUAAUGGCCUCAAGAAUCAAGCCAACUAUCUAUGAAACAAGGUUUUCCUCUUUACACUAAAAUAGACUGAAUGGUGAAUUUUGAGUUUAAGGAGUUCGUGAAUCCUUCAACGGUUCUCCUAUCCCUUUAUCUUCAUCCCAGCUAAUGGUGUUUGAUGUUUCUUAUUCUAAUUUCAGCCUAUUCCGCUACUCAUUCUCAUCAUUCCCAUUGUGAUUUAUGAG